UGGUGGCGAGAAGUCGAUGUUGUC
Molecule: non-coding RNA, 24 nt
Filed under: Arabidopsis thaliana (thale cress)
Lineage: Eukaryota; Viridiplantae; Streptophyta; Magnoliopsida; Brassicales; Brassicaceae
Source: RNAcentral